Molecule: ribosomal RNA, 468 nt
Filed under: uncultured bacterium
Lineage: Bacteria
Description: partial 16S ribosomal RNA
Rfam family: Bacterial small subunit ribosomal RNA
Source: RNAcentral
GACGAACGCUGGCGGCGUGCUUAACACAUGCAAGUCGAACGGAAAGGCCCUGCUUUUGUGGGGGGCUGGGGUGGCGAAGGGGAGGGUAACACAUGAGGAGCCUGCCCUUCACCUUGGGAUAACAUCAGGAAACGGGGGUUAAUACCGGACAGGAGCUCCUGCUGCACGGUGGGGGUGGGAAUGUGGCGGCGGUUGGGGAUGGAUGCGCGGCGCUUGAGCUUGUUGGGGGGGUAGUGGCUUACCAAGGCUUCGAAGGGUAGCCGGCCUGAGAGGGUGACAGGCCACAUUGGGACUGCGAUACGGCCCAGACUCCUACGGGAGGCAGCAGUGGGGAAUAUUGCACAAUGGGCGGAAGCCUGAUGCAGCAGCGCCGCGUGCGGGAUGACGGCCUUCGGGUUGUAAACCGCUUUCGCCUGUGACGAAGCGUGAGUGACGGUAAUGGGUAAAGAAGCACCGGCUAACUACGUG